RNAcentral lists this ribosomal RNA (468 nucleotides) under uncultured bacterium. RNAcentral's name for it is "partial 16S ribosomal RNA". It matches the Rfam family "Bacterial small subunit ribosomal RNA", at positions 28 to 507 of the family's 1533-position model. The record is from RNAcentral.
GACGAACGCUGGCGGCGUGCUUAACACAUGCAAGUCGAACGGAAAGGCCCUGCUUUUGUGGGGUGCUAGAGUGGCGAACGGGUGAGUAACACGUGAGUAACCUGCCCUUGACUUUGGGAUAACUUCAGGAAACUGGGGCUAAUACCGGAUAGGAGCUCCUGCUGCAUGGUGGGGGUUGGAAAGUUUCGGCGGUUGGGGAUGGACUCGCGGCUUAUCAGCUUGUUGGUGGGGUAGUGGCUUACCAAGGCUUUGACGGGUAGCCGGCCUGAGAGGGUGACCGGCCACAUUGGGACUGAGAGACGGCCCAGACUCCUACGGGAGGCAGCAGUGGGGAAUAUUGCACAAUGGGCGGAAGCCUGAGGCAGCAACGCCGCGUGCGGGAUGACGGCCUUCGGGUUGUAAACCGCUUUCGCCUGUGACGAAGCGUGAGUGACGGUAAUGGGUAAAGAAGCACCGGCUAACUACGUG